RNAcentral lists this ribosomal RNA (244 nucleotides) under Epitranus sp. D2685. RNAcentral's name for it is "partial 28S ribosomal RNA". It matches the Rfam family "Eukaryotic large subunit ribosomal RNA", at positions 967 to 1163 of the family's 3401-position model. The record is from RNAcentral. Lineage: Eukaryota; Metazoa; Arthropoda; Insecta; Hymenoptera; Chalcididae.
UUUCCCUCAGGAUAGCUGGCACUCGCUUGAGCGAGUCUCAUCUGGUAAAGCGAAUGAUUAGAGGCCUUGGGGCCGAAACGACCUCAACCUAUUCUCAAACUUUAAAUGGGUGAGAUCUCUGGCUUGCUUGAACGUUGAAGCCACGAGAUGUGCGCGCGCGCGCACGUAACAGUGUUAGCGCGCCGCAAUUCGGAUCAGAGUGCCAAGUGGGCCAAUUUUGGUAAGCAGAACUGGCGCUGUGGGA